GUCCACGCCCUAAACGUUGAUUACUCGAUGUGUGCGAUACACAGUACGCGUCUAAGCGAAAGCAUUAAGUAAUCCACCUGGGGGAGUACGGUCGCAAGACUGAAACUCAAAGGAAUUGACGGGGGCCCGCACAAGCGGAGGAGCAUGUGGUUUAAUUCGAUGAUACGCGAGGAACCUUACCCGGGCUUGAAAGUUAGUGAAUGUAGUGGAAACAUUACAGUCCGCAAGGACACGAAACUAGGUGCUGCAUGGCUGUCGU
This 259-nucleotide ribosomal RNA is filed under the name uncultured bacterium. RNAcentral describes it as "partial 16S ribosomal RNA". It matches the Rfam family "Bacterial small subunit ribosomal RNA", at positions 793 to 1055 of the family's 1533-position model. The record is from RNAcentral.